Long non-coding RNA from Armigeres subalbatus, 1905 nucleotides. RefSeq lists it as uncharacterized. The transcript has 2 exons. NCBI's taxonomy places the organism in Eukaryota, Metazoa, Arthropoda, Insecta, Diptera, Culicidae. The record is from RefSeq and is a predicted model, not a curated record.
UGCCAGACGUAAAAUGUCAGAAGUUUAUUUUGUGCUCCUUGAUUGGAAUUGUAUUGCUGCUGUUGUUGAAGAUGAUGACCAAUCGAAGAUGUUUUUUUCUUCUUGUUGCGACUAUCAAAUGGUACCACUUCGGACACAAAAGAAACACGAAGCAAAGGAAGAUGAAACCACUUGGUCUUCACUUUGAAUGGGAAACUGUUAAUCUUGUUGUGUCCAGAAGGACGAUGAAGGCGGUGAAAUGGUGGUUUCUCUCUAUUCGAAAAGAUGCCUGAAUUAAGUGGAUCCUGUUGAAGGGUUUAUUUGAACACCGCAUUAGGAUCGCUUUUAAUGGGAGUUUUUAAGAAAAGGGUCGAACUUGACCAGAAGACGGAGCACAUAAAGUGCAGACAAAGCGUCGCCCCCAUCGUCAUCGUCGGCUGGAAUGGUCGUCGGGUCCUACGUGAAGGUGUGUUGGAUCACCUUCUACAUCUGCACCAUCUGCACCGUGCUGUUGUACUCGCUUCGGGUGGGAAUCUCCUGAUUGUACAACCUGAAAGAGAUUAUCAAAAUAUAAAUCAAACCGACAAAUAGCGAACAAAUCGAAAUCCAAUCCCCGCCAGGAGAGAUGCACUGCGAAGAAAUCAACAAAAACAACGCCAUCACAACUACGACAAGCUUCCAGAGAACGAGAGCGAGAGAAAGAUUGCUUCAACCGAAUCUUCCGUACGACCCCUAGAAGCUAGAUUAUUGUUUUACGUUUCUCCUCCGUCGGAAGCUCCAGAGCUACGGGCUCGAAGUGAACGAUAAAAGUGGCAACGAACCGGCAUAAUUGGAGUGUCCAGAUGACCAGCACCAUAUCCGAGAGCGAACGAGCGGCCAAUUUCAGUUUUCAACCAACCAAACGAGGAAGCCAACGAAUUACAAAAUCCAACGCCAGAGCCAGGAACGGAACCGAUUACAGCGAACAGAAGUCAACGACAUUUAGACGAAGAAUACAAAAUACGUUAAUCUGUCAAGAAUUUAAUACAUGCUACCACAGUUUUAUGUUCCGCACUUUGCACUCAGCAGCUGUUUCACAUGAUAGUUAGAUUGAGGAAAUGUAAUUCAACUUUGAGCUCCCAGCAGAAUUCCGUUCGUUUGUCUGUGGCCAAUCUUUGGUCUGUAGAAGUUGGAGGGUUGAUGCUGUGGUUUUGUUUUCCGAAAAUUGACUGUAAUUAACCGGGAUUGGUUGGGCCAAGCAUGUACUCGGCUGGAAAUAGGAAAAUUGGCGUCAUGAUGUGCCGAAAAACACCUCUGUACAUUGCCGGACACGAGUGCUGGUACUGGAGUAAAUAGCUCAGAGGAGGAAACUAGCGGUUGGAAAAUGGAAUUAAAUUGCAGUUUUUAUUUAAACUUAAGAGACAUAGAGAAUUACUGCGAAAGCUGAGGUGUUUGGAAUUGUGGCGUACUAAGUGGAAGAUUUUGUUCUGAACGAAUAAUCGACUGUUAAGAGUUUUAUUUCUUUUUUUUUCAAGAGUUCAAAACUUAUUAUUUUGACUUCGAAAUAAAACUGUGGUACGAAUAUAUCAUGCUGUCGCAAUACUCUCAAAGGAUGCUGUCAACAUAUUGAUAAAUUUGACCGAUAUUUGAAAUUGCAAUCGUAAAGUAUGCUUUAGAAUAUUUAUCAAGGUGAUUCAAGUAAGAAGCAGUGCAUUAUACUGUAGUUGGUACCGAAACAUGAAUGAAAAUCAUCGUGGAGAAAACAAUUUAAUUUUGUAUUCGAUUUCUCGGUGUUAAUGCUUUGUAUAUUUUAAACUAUUCAUUUAAAAAAUUUACACGUUUCAGCAGGAAAAAUCAGAAAUGAAUUAUAAAAAGAUGCUACGGCAUUGGAAAGAAAGGAUGUAGAAAGGAUAAACAAAAUUUAUUAAGGAAUUCAUAGUAAAAGUA